UUUUCCCUGCGGUGUUCGCGAAGGCAUACAUUCCUUUGAACCAAUAAGUUCGCUUCAGGUUGCCGAGAGUAGUGAUGGGAGCGAGCGUCGUUUAUAGUCGAUGCACCCGAAAUCACCCCGAGGUGACCGCCUUGUCAGCAAGGUUCAAGCGGAUUCAGCCUAAACGACAUUUGCGGGGAUUCA
Molecule: non-coding RNA, 183 nt
Filed under: Neisseria arctica
Lineage: Bacteria; Pseudomonadati; Pseudomonadota; Betaproteobacteria; Neisseriales; Neisseriaceae
Also listed under: 1 other name
Description: 6S / SsrS RNA
Rfam family: 6S / SsrS RNA
About the family: E. coli 6S RNA was the first non coding RNA to be sequenced, but its function was unknown until recently. It consists of 184 nucleotides that fold into an extended hairpin structure with a large single-stranded internal bulge.
Source: Rfam by way of RNAcentral